GCUGAAUGCGCGUGCGGCUCUUGCCCCGCAUGUGCAUUCAGCCGAGGACGGGGAGAGUCCCCCGUGCGGCGCUGGAGAAAGAGGUACGUUUAACCCUUUCCUCCCCCGAGUGCCCAGCGGGGGCACCCUCAGGGCACUAUAGUGCCAGCAAAACGAGUAUGUUUUCCUGGCACUAUAGUCGUCCUUUAAUUUUCAUUCUUGGACUGCCAUACAGUACCAAAGGCAUCAUAGGC
Molecule: non-coding RNA, 233 nt
Organism: Pelobates cultripes (western spadefoot toad)
Lineage: Eukaryota; Metazoa; Chordata; Amphibia; Anura; Pelobatidae
Source: the annotation of a GenBank genome assembly